UGGGGGAUAUUGCACAAUGGGGGAAACCCUGAUGCAGUGACGUCGCGUGAGGGAAGACGGUUUUCGGAUUGUAAACCUCUGUCUUCGGGGACGAGAAGAAGACGGUACCCGAGGAGGAAGCCACGGCUAACUACGUGCCAGCAGCCGCGGUAAUACGUAGGUGGCAAGCGUUGUCCGGCAUUACUGGGUGAAAAGGGGGCGUAGGCGGGAGUGCAAGUAAAGUGUCAAAUCUAUCGGCUCAACCGGUAGUCGCGCUUGAAACUGCAUUUCUUGAGUGAAGUAGAGGCAGACGGAAUUCCUAGUGUAGCGGUGAAAUGCGUAGAUAUUAGGAGGAACACCAGUGGCGAAGGCGGUCUGCUGGGCUUUAACUGACGCUGAGGCUCGAAAGCAUGGGUAGCAAACA
RNAcentral lists this ribosomal RNA (403 nucleotides) under uncultured prokaryote. RNAcentral describes it as "bacterial SSU rRNA". It matches the Rfam family "Bacterial small subunit ribosomal RNA", at positions 355 to 774 of the family's 1533-position model. The record is from RNAcentral.